Molecule: non-coding RNA, 146 nt
Filed under: Gloeothece verrucosa PCC 7822
Lineage: Bacteria; Bacillati; Cyanobacteriota; Cyanophyceae; Chroococcales; Aphanothecaceae
Also listed under: 1 other name
Source: RNAcentral
UAAUUUAGGUUGCUUAUCGGUUCUAGUGAAAGUCCGCCACUAGAGGUAACGGGGAAAGAUCGGUGCAAAUCCGCCACUGUCCCGCAACUGUAAUAAGACUGUGUUGCUCUUUGAGUCAGAAUGCCCGCCGAUGACAAUUAUUGAUU